This is a long non-coding RNA of Tripterygium wilfordii, 252 nucleotides long. RefSeq lists it as uncharacterized. The transcript has 3 exons. The record is from RefSeq and is a predicted model, not a curated record. Lineage: Eukaryota; Viridiplantae; Streptophyta; Magnoliopsida; Celastrales; Celastraceae.
CCCAUAUUGACUGCUUGGGAGGACCAAAUAAAUAAAAUAAUAACCCCAAGGGCAGGGGCUUCAAUAAUUGAUCGCGUUAGGGUUUGGUGGUGUAUUGCUUCUCCUCCGCUCCAAAUCCUUAGAUUCCGGUGGCAGCCAUGUCGUCCAAGCAAGGUGGAAAAGCGAAGCCUUUGAAGCAACCCAAAGCCGAGAAGAAAGAGUACGACGAGAUUGAUAAGGCUAACAUUCAAAAGAAGAAAGACGAGGAAAAGG